This 754-nucleotide long non-coding RNA is filed under the name Triticum aestivum (bread wheat). Its description in RNAcentral is "long non-coding RNA (TAES_LNC017550)". Lineage: Eukaryota; Viridiplantae; Streptophyta; Magnoliopsida; Poales; Poaceae. The record is from RNAcentral.
UUACACCAAUUCAGCAAAAAUUCUAGUUUUAGGUGUAAUGUGAUCUAACCGUCAAAGCCACGACUUACAAGGGUAUAUAAAGACUCAUGGACGUCCAACAUAGGUUUGGAGUCGAAUGUGACGAGUAUACAGUUUGGAAAGCACACAAAUCAAGCUUUCGAAAUUGUAUUUAUAUGCCUUACUUGAAGCACGUGUAUGGAUUCUGCUCUUAGUACAAUUUCGGACCUCUUUGCAGUCAAUCCGAAUAUGGUGUAGGAUUGCUGCUCUUUAUGUGGUGCGCCUACCCCUCCCCUAUCCACCCUCGCGCACUUGCUAAUGUUAGACUUUAGUAGGUGUUCUUCUUUCUGUAAUUCUUCAUCUCCAUUUGCCAAGCUUGUCUCCUCUUCAAAUCUGAGUUCUUCUUUCCGCAAUUCUUCAUCUCCACGUGCUAAGCUUGUCUCCUCUUCAAAUCUGAUCAUACGCACUUAGGCAGCUAAUUAACACAAAUAAUAGAUUUAACAAAGAGUGUUAUUCACAUUUUGUUCUAGUAGCUUUUGCACGCGCUCUUGUAAUUGGUACAAUUUUCAUUUCAUUGGACUUGUCUUGUGCAACAACAUCUAUCAAUGAAAAAGUACAGUAGAGGACUAGGAAUGUCGUCACCUUUACCACCGAGAAGACCAACCACUCCCUCUUCUCCUCUGCCACCAACAACCUCCUUAUCAUCUGCUAAACCUUGCUUGUCAUGGACAAGAAGAAUGACGAGGCAACAACCCAG